GACGAACGCUGGCGGCGUGCUUAACACAUGCAAGUCGAACGGAAGGGCCCUGCUUUUGUGGGGUGCUCGAGUGGCGAACGGGUGAGUAACACGUGAGUAACCUGCCCUUGACUUUGGGAUAACUUCAGGAAACUGGGGCUAAUACCGGAUAGGAGCUCCUGCUGCAUGGUGGGGGGUGGAAAGUUUCGGCGGUUGGGGAUGGACUCGCGGCUUAUCAGCUUGUUGGUGGGGUAGUGGCUUACCAAGGCUUUGACGGGUAGCCGGCCUGAGAGGGUGACCGGCCACAUUGGGACUGAGAUACGGCCCAGACUCCUACGGGAGGCAGCAGUGGGGAAUAUUGCACAAUGGGCGGAAGCCUGAUGCAGCAACGCCGCGUGCGGGAUGACGGCCUUCGGGUUGUAAACCGCUUUCGCCUGUGACGAAGCGUGAGUGACGGUAAUGGGUAAAGAAGCACCGGCUAACUACGUG
RNAcentral lists this ribosomal RNA (468 nucleotides) under uncultured bacterium. RNAcentral describes it as "partial 16S ribosomal RNA". It matches the Rfam family "Bacterial small subunit ribosomal RNA", at positions 28 to 507 of the family's 1533-position model. The record is from RNAcentral.